GGUUUAAUUCGAUGCAACGCGAAAACCUUACCUGCCCUUGACAUGUCAGGAAUCUUUCAGAGAUGAGAGAGUGCCUUCGGGAACCUGAACACAGGUGCUGCAUGGCUGUCGUCAGCUCGUGUCGUGAGAUGUUGGGUUAAGUCCCGUAACGAGCGCAACCCUUGUCCUUAGUUGCCAGCGGUUCGGCCGGGAACUCAAAGGAGACUGCCAGUGAUAAACUGGAGGAAGGUGGGAUGACGUCAAGUCAUCAUGGCCCUUACGACCAGGGCUACACACGUGCUACAAUGGCGCAUACAAAGAGAAGCGACCUCGCGAGAGCAAGCGGACCUCAUAAAGUGCGUCGUAGUCCGGAUUGGAGUCUGCAACUCGACUCCAUGAAGUCGGAAUCGCUAGUAAUCGUGGAUCAGAAUGCCACGGUGAAUACGUUCCCGGGCCUU
Molecule: ribosomal RNA, 437 nt
Filed under: uncultured Enterobacteriaceae bacterium
Lineage: Bacteria; Pseudomonadati; Pseudomonadota; Gammaproteobacteria; Enterobacterales; Enterobacteriaceae
Description: bacterial SSU rRNA
Rfam family: Bacterial small subunit ribosomal RNA
Source: RNAcentral